UGGCUCUCGCAUCGAUGAUGAACGCAGCGAAAUGCGAUAAGUAAUGUGAAUUGCAGAAUUCAGUGAAUCAUCGAAUCUUUGAACGCACCUUGCGCUCCUCGGCAUUCCGAGGAGCAUGCCUGUUUGAGUGUCAUGGAAACCCUCAACCCUGUCAUCUUUGCGGAUGUAAGCAGGGCUUGGAUCCUGGAGGUUUUUUUUUGCUGGAUGCUUCCGGGCGUCCGGCUCCUCUUGAAUGCAUUAGCUUGGACAGACCGGCUAGGGUCGACGUGAUAAACAUCACCGUUGACCGGAAGGCCCCGUCACGCGUCGAGCUUCCAAUCGUCUUCGGACAAAAGUGUCUCUGACCUCUGACCUCAAAUCAGGUAGGACUACCCGCUGA
RNAcentral lists this unclassified non-coding RNA (379 nucleotides) under uncultured fungus. RNAcentral's name for it is "partial contains 5.8S ribosomal RNA and internal transcribed spacer 2". The stretch from base 1 to 133 matches the Rfam family "5.8S ribosomal RNA", at positions 22 to 154 of the family's 154-position model. The record is from RNAcentral. Lineage: Eukaryota; Fungi.